UGUUGUGUGUUGUGAUCGUGUUUGUUUUCCUUUUAUGGUUUGUUUCGGUGGACGCGACCUUUUUUCUUUCUCUUCGUUUUUGCCUCAGCUCUGCAUUCUUGGGAGAGAGUUGCAGAGAGUAGGUUCUGCAUGUUGUGAUCGUGUUUGUUUUCUUUCCAUUUAGGGUUUGUUUGUUCCUUGCAUGUGACUCAUUUGGGUUUUCGGUGAUGCAAGAGUUCAUGUUAGUAACGAGAGGGAAGACGAAGAUUGGAAUUAGAUCGAGGAAAGCAGGAGAGUACUUUCUUUGGCGAUUUUGUUUUGUUGGCGAUUUCGGGUUUGUUGGAAACUCAGGAGGUGUUGGGCUCAUUGUCGCGAUCUUCUGUCUCUCUCUCUUUCUCUUCGUUUUUGGCUGGGUUCUUCGCAUGUAGAGGGAUAUAUAUUUUCACACAACAGCUGGCCUUUAAAAGAUUAGGUACUUCCAGUAAAAUAACACCAUUGCAGCUGGAAGGCUUGCUGACCGAAGGGAGCACAUCAAGACUUUGGUUGGUAAAUGUUUCCCUUGAUAUAUUUAAUGAAUGACAUGAUCAGGUUGAAUUCUGUGCUGCAUAUUCACCUUCUUGCCUUUGCAAUAGUUUACAUUAUUCUUUGGCUAUACAAAAUACUGUACUUGAUGUACAGUAAUAAUCCCCCAGAAUCUCCUGCACUGCUUUAAUUUUUCAGGUAAAAUGUUGCAUUUGGAAAAGGAAAAAAUGGACUGAAAUAUCAUGUCACUUUUUGUGUAAAUAGAAAUGGAGGCAGCAACUUUUUUGACAACCUCCACAGCUAAUCAUCACUAGGCUAACAACCUCUCAGCAACUGAUGUCACUUUUGAUAUAGUCACUAGGUUAGCCUAUAAGUAGAUCACUGUAUUUUGGAGAAGCUGUUUUAACAGCAUUUGUAAUAUAUAUUUGAACAUUACCAGAACAUCUAUAUUAAUGGUAAUGUUAGCUCCUGAUAUGGAGCAUGAAUUGAUAUAUUUUUGAGAAGCUGUUUUAACAGCAGUUGUAUUAUAUAU
This is a long non-coding RNA of Rosa rugosa (rugosa rose), 1033 nucleotides long. RefSeq lists it as uncharacterized. The transcript has 4 exons. The record is from RefSeq and is a predicted model, not a curated record. Lineage: Eukaryota; Viridiplantae; Streptophyta; Magnoliopsida; Rosales; Rosaceae.